RNAcentral lists this ribosomal RNA (467 nucleotides) under uncultured bacterium. RNAcentral describes it as "partial 16S ribosomal RNA". It matches the Rfam family "Bacterial small subunit ribosomal RNA", at positions 28 to 507 of the family's 1533-position model. The record is from RNAcentral.
GAUGAACGCUGGCGGCGUGCUUAACACAUGCAAGUCGAACGGAAAGGCCCAAGCUUGCUUGGGUACUCGAGUGGCGAACGGGUGAGUAACACGUGGGUGAUCUGCCCCGCACUUCGGGAUAAGCCUGGGAAACUGGGUCUAAUACCGGAUAGGACAGUGGUUUGGAUGCCAUUGUGGAAAGUUUUUUCGGUGUGGGAUGAGCUCGCGGCCUAUCAGCUUGUUGGUGGGGUAAUGGCCUACCAAGGCGUCGACGGGUAGCCGGCCUGAGAGGGUGUACGGCCACAUUGGGACUGAGAUACGGCCCAGACUCCUACGGGGGGCAGCAGUGGGGAAUAUUGCACAAUGGGCGCAAGCCUGAUGCAGCGACGCCGCGUGGGGGAUGACGGGCUUCGGGUUGUAAACUCCUUUCGCUAGGGACGAAGCGUUAUGUGACGGUACCUAGAGAAGAAGCACCGGCUAACUACGUG